Molecule: ribosomal RNA, 434 nt
Filed under: uncultured Ruminococcus sp.
Lineage: Bacteria; Bacillati; Bacillota; Clostridia; Eubacteriales; Oscillospiraceae
Description: partial 16S ribosomal RNA
Rfam family: Bacterial small subunit ribosomal RNA
Source: RNAcentral
ACGGGAGGCAGCAGUGGGGAAUAUUGGGCAAUGGGCGAAAGCCUGACCCAGCGACGCCGCGUGAGCGAAGAAGGUCUUCGGAUUGUAAAGCUCUGUGUACAGGAACGAUAAUGACGGUACCUGUAUAGAAAGCCACGGCUAACUACGUGCCAGCAGCCGCGGUAAUACGUAGGGAGCAAGCGUUAUCCGGAAUUACUGGGUGUAAAGGGAGUGUAGGCGGGACUGUAAGUCAGAUGUGAAAUAUGCCGGCUCAACUGGCAGACUGCAUUUGAAACUGCGGUUCUUGAGUGAAGUAGAGGUAAGCGGAAUUCCUAGUGUAGCGGUGAAAUGCGUAGAUAUUAGGAGGAACAUCAGUGGCGAAGGCGGCUUACUGGGCUUUAACUGACGCUGAGGCUCGAAAGCGUGGGGAGCAAACAGGAUUAGAUACCCUGGUA